Molecule: ribosomal RNA, 427 nt
Filed under: uncultured prokaryote
Description: bacterial SSU rRNA
Rfam family: Bacterial small subunit ribosomal RNA
Source: RNAcentral
UGGGGAAUUUUGGACAAUGGGCGCAAGCCUGAUCCAGCAAUGCCGCGUGCAGGACGAAGGCCUUCGGGUUGUAAACUGCUUUUGUACAGAACGAAAAAGCCUCUUCUAAUACAGGGGGUGCAUGACGGUACUGUAAGAAUAAGCACCGGCUAACUACGUGCCAGCAGCCGCGGUAAUACGUAGGGUGCAAGCGUUAAUCGGAAUUACUGGGCGUAAAGCGUGCGCAGGCGGUUUUGUAAGACAGAGGUGAAAUCCCCGGGCUCAACCUGGGAACUGCCUUUGUGACUGCAAGGCUGGAGUGCGGCAGAGGGGGAUGGAAUUCCGCGUGUAGCAGUGAAAUGCGUAGAUAUGCGGAGGAACACCGAUGGCGAAGGCAAUCCCCUGGGCCUGCACUGACGCUCAUGCACGAAAGCGUGGGGAGCAAACA